CUCCUCCUCGCGGCCCCAGCCCGCGCUCCUCCCUCAGCCGCCCCGGCGCGGGACGGACGAGACAAGAUGGCGGCGGGCGCGGCGGGGAGGCAGCACCAAGAGCUAAUGGGAUUUGUCAUGCCAACACUAAACUGAGACUAAGCUUCGACCCUUUAUACGGAAUUGUUAAAAGAGGAAGCUGCAGUACCAAAGACCGUGCUUGACUGCAUGAGACUGUACCUCUCUCACAGCAAAUUAAAUCUUACUUCACAAACUUUAUGAGAUACAAACUUUAAGUCUUUAAAGUUAAAUCAUUCAACAUCUCAUUUUUUUUUGCAUGGCAACAAUGAACCAGUGAUUGACUUCUUAGAGCUGUAACUUGAAUAACUGGGGAGAACAAACGCUAAGGUUCCUAGUAAGAUACAUACAAAAUGUGUUCUUAUCCUGUCAAAUUAAUAUUUGUAGUUUGAUUUACUCUCAAGACCAUAGAGGUCAAUUUUAAAACAAACAAAUUAACAUCAUCAACAAAAAAAGUAUACACAAACCCUUUGUUUUUGCAGGCUCUUGUUUCUUCCUAGUAGCAUUAGUCCCUUUUUAGAUACUUGGUAAACUUAAAACUUAUUGUACUGCUGUUUAAUACAGAUUUUUUUUUCUCAGCUAGAAAGAGGUAUCCUUUGAAAACGUAAAUGUUGUUAACAAAAAGGAAUGCAUUGGCAGUGUAAGCCAGUAAUUCAUGACUAGCUAAAACUGUGAAGAGAUAGCUGCUUACAAAGGCGAAUUGUGAACCGAUUUUAAGCAAUAACACUACAGGCAUUCAGGGUACUCGUAGCUGUAUCACUAACUGUAUGCUACUGAAGUAAAGAGUCCCUUACGUUUAAAUUGUGUGCUUUAAUGAUUUAAACAGCACUGAAUGAAUAUUUCAUUUUAUAUUAUGAGAGUCUAAGGAUAGAGUAAGAUAAAUAGCUAGCAACCUGUCCUGGUUUUACCCCACAGUGCUUGACAGUUGCUUGCGUGAUCCAGGAAGAUCGUGAGACUAUCAAUUUUCCUUUACUUGGGCAACUAUCAGAACUGUAAUUUGACUAAAACUGGAUUAAAUUUUUCUCAUUGUAGAAGAGUGCUCACCUCCAGCAUAUGCACAAGAUAGCAUCAAGAUGCACACUGCUUAAAUUUACAAUAAUUUAUUGUGUUUAGGAACAGUGAAUAAAUACCAAGCUGUUAGCUUCAGUUUGGCAGUACUUUUCCAACCAAAAUGUGUUUUUUUUUUCUUUUUUUUUUUUUUCUGGCAGAAACUCCAUUGCCAGCAAUGGAUGCAUCAGAACAUGAAAUUAAUAAACAAUACACACAGACAGCAGUUUUCUAAACAUACCCCCUCUUUUAAAAGGCGUGAUACAGAUUUACUGAACAAGUCUCAAGCAAAUUCUUCACAGAAGAAAAUUUUGCUACAAGCUGUCCUCUCUUCGAACAUUGUUUUCUUCACCAAUGCUGGUAGUUUAUUUCAUGGAGUACAUUAUCUAUUUUUAACAGUACUGAUGGAUCAUUAAAAACAAUUUUUGUUUUCUACUGAAGGCGAAGAUGUGCUCUGACUUGACCUGGUUCACAUCCAUCACAAGUAUCACUGCCAGGAUGUAUAUGAAAAGAAAGUACUGUUUCACCAAUCUUCACUUCAUCACCAUGCUCCAAGAUGUAGGGAUCACAUUUCGUUUUUGGCUAUAGCAAAAGAAAGUUUGGCAGCCAUGGUUAUUAGCUCCUAAAGCAGCACACCAAAUAUUUUGUGAAUGCUGCUCAUAAUCUAAUGAUUCAGCUUGGUCUUUCAAAUGCAGACAAAUAUUUAAACUAUGGGAGGUAUUUCACUCUAGCAACUGUUAACUGUAGUGGAUUUUUCCUAAUUCAUUAUAUAACACAAACAUGAAAUAUUACAAGUGGCCCUGAAAACUGAAGGGAAUCAAGGAAGGAAUUACUGUAUGAAAAAAGCCAUACAAUGACAUUGCUAGUGAUUUGCCAUACCGUAUUUUAAAAUGACUACAGUUUUCUGCAACACUACAGCAAAUACUUACCUGAAGAAUCUGAUUUCCAUUAACAACUGUCCCAUUCUGACUGCCUUGAUCCACAAGAACAUAAUUUUGCAAAUCGUGGUCAAAAUAUACUUCUGCAUGGAACUGAUAAAGAGAAGACUACGUGAAAUAUUCUCAUUAAGCAUGUACUUCACAAUUUACAUGCUGUUUUAAAGUAAGAUUUCAGAAUAUAUUUUGGGGACUUAACCAAAUGGGUUCGGUUAAUAGAAUAUUAAAAAAUUGCUUUUAUAUAUUUGAAAUGUAAAUGAAUGGGCAGCAACAGCAUGAGAUAAGGCGUACCAUUAAAAAUACAACUAUUUUUACCAUAAACUGAUCCAACACUGAAAAAGUGUAUGUACUUUCAAUAUAGAAAGUAUACUUUAUUUAAAGGAUUGCAAGAUCUAGUAAUAAAGCAUUUUUAGCUGUUCUUAUAAAUACAUGAUAUUUUUUCCUUGUAAGGUAUGUUAUAGCAAUCUCAAUUUUCCCCUUUCUGGAAGGCAUCAAAAAAGAUACUUAAAGAAAUGCAAUUAAUAAAAAAUCUGAAUCUCUAC
This is a long non-coding RNA of Cygnus atratus (black swan), 2581 nucleotides long. RefSeq lists it as uncharacterized. The record is from RefSeq and is a predicted model, not a curated record. The transcript is spliced from 3 exons. NCBI's taxonomy places the organism in Eukaryota, Metazoa, Chordata, Aves, Anseriformes, Anatidae.